ACGAACGCGGCGGCGUGCUUAAACACAUGCAAGUCGAACGGUAAGGCUCCAGCUUGCUGGGGUACACGAGUGGCGAACGGGCGAGUAACACGUGGGUGACCUGCCCUGCACUUCGGGAUAAGCCUGGGAAACUGGGUCUAAUACCGGAUAGGACCGCACCGUGAGGGUGUGGUGGAAAGUUUUUCCGGUGUGGGAUGGGCCCGCGGCCUAUCAGCUUGUUGGUGGGGUAAUGGCCUACCAAGGCGGCGACGGGUAGCCGGCCUGAAGGGUGGACGGCACAUUGGGACUGAACACGGCCCAGACUCCUACGGGAGGCAGCAGUGGGGAAUAUUGCACAAUGGGCGGAAGCCUGAUGCAGCGACGCCGCGUGGGGGAUGACGGCCUUCGGGUUGUAAACUCCUUUCACCAUCGACGAAGGGUUUCUGACGGUACAUGGAGAAGAAGCACCGGUAACUACGUGCCAGCAGCCGCGGUAACUACGUAGGGUGCGAGCGUUGUCCGGAAUUACUGGGCGUAAAGAGCUCGUAGGUGGCAGUCGCGUCGUCCUGUGGAAAUUCCGGGGCUUAACUCCGGGCGUGCAGGCGAUACCGGGCAUAACUUGAGGUACUGUAGGGGACACUGGACUUCCUGGUGUACGAUGAAAUCGCGCAGAUAUCAGGAGGACCACCGGUGGCCGAAGCGGGUACUCUGGGCAGAAACUGACGCUGAGGAGCGAAAGGCAUGGGGAGGCGAACAGGAUUCAGAUA
Molecule: ribosomal RNA, 746 nt
Filed under: uncultured Actinomycetes bacterium
Lineage: Bacteria; Bacillati; Actinomycetota; Actinomycetes
Description: bacterial SSU rRNA
Rfam family: Bacterial small subunit ribosomal RNA
Source: RNAcentral